GUCUCGCAUUGUAGGUUGAUGAAGCGUUUCCUAAGUUAAACCUUUCAAUUAAAGUUCCUUGGAACAGGACAUCAAAGAGGGUGAUAAUCCCGUAACUAAUUGAAUGACAUACCAGUUUAACGACUAUGGAGCGUUUUCUUAGAGUCGGAAUGUUUGGGAUUGCAUUCCAAAGUGGGUGGUAAACUCCAUCUAAGGCUAAAUACUGGCGAGAGACCGAUAGCGAACAAGUACCGUGAGGGAAAGUUGAAAAGCACUCUGGAGAGAGAGUCAAACAGUACGUGAAAUUGCUAGCAGGGAAACGUUGGGCACCAGUACACGGCAAUCAAUGUUAAUGAUCAGUCGGUUUAUUGGCAAGUUAUAAUGCGGUGGUUAUACCUUUAGUGAUUGUCCCAUUAGCGGCGACUCACGUAUUAUAAAUUGUUAAUCGGACCGGUGCACUCUUUAACAGCCGGGUCAACAUCGGUUAAUGGCGUCGAAUAAGCUAGCUUUGAUACAGAGCAGGUGGCUAAAACGUAGCAAGAUCAAGUCUAUAUGGCUUGAUUUUGAACUUAUAAGUUUGUUAGUCGCGAUGUCAUUGACCGAGGAUUAUUCGACUCGUGCGUUUCGGCGCAGGGCGUAUUAGUAGUGUUAAAUCUAUACGUGUCAUUAGACAGCUUGCUGAUUAAUGGUCACUGUGCUAUUGCCACGUUGUAUAGCAGAGAUAGGUACACUGCUAAUGCAAGCCACUAGCGAGUCAAUGAAUGUUGACGAAAUGGUAUUCAACGACCCGUCUUGAAACACGGACCAAGGAGUCUAACAUGUCUGCGAGUGUUUGGGUGGAAAACCCUUACGCGGAAUGAAAGUGAAGAGGCAAGUUUCGCGCUUGUCCACUGGUAGGAAUCGAAGCGUUUCGGCGCGACGACGCACUACCGACCGACCUGUUACCCUCUGUGGUGGUAGGUUUGAGUUGGAGCAGUCCUGUUAGGACCCGAAAGAUGGUGAACUAUGCCUGAGCAGGAUGAAGUCAGAGGAAACUCUGAUGGAGGUCCGUAGCGGUUCUGACGUGCAAAUCGAUCGUCUGACUUGGGUAUAGGGGCGAAAGA
RNAcentral lists this ribosomal RNA (1082 nucleotides) under Syncephalis sp. KL-2016a. Its description in RNAcentral is "eukaryotic LSU rRNA". It matches the Rfam family "Eukaryotic large subunit ribosomal RNA", at positions 135 to 930 of the family's 3401-position model. Lineage: Eukaryota; Fungi; Zoopagomycota; Zoopagomycetes; Zoopagales; Piptocephalidaceae. The record is from RNAcentral.